AUGAGGAAGAAACUGUCUUCUGGUUAUGUAACCGUGAACACUCCUUCCAUACAGCGAGCUCUCAGUUUGAGCACAGGCAGCCAGCAAAUUGAUAGCGGUAACCACUUCCACCUGGUGGCCCUCUUCCUUCAUUUGCACGAAGCAAUCAAAUGCCUCCUCGGGCCGUUCGUUCAGGGCAUACCCACCUAUCAUACAAUUCCAUGUCACCACGGUCCUCAGUGGCAUCGUCGCAAACACGCCCUCGGCAGAAGCAAUGUCGCCACACUUGCAGUACAUGUCAAGGAUAGAAGUGCCAACCUUGACGUCAUGCUCCAUCCCGUGCCUGAUCACAUAGGCGUGCACCUCCCGCCCUUGCAUCAGCGCAGAUUCCAAGCAGCACGCGGCGAGCGCGGCUAUGAUCCCGACGCAGUCAUGCUGCACCUCCAGCGCCUCGUGCAUCUCCCUGAAGCAGCCCAGGGCCAGCGCCCCGAGGCCGUUGGACACGUAGCCGUCGACCAUGGAGUUCCAGGUGACGAUGUCCCUGGCCGGCAUUCCGUCGAACACUCUCUCGGCGUCGCCCACCAUGCCGAGCCUGGCGUAGAAGGCGAGGAGCGAGUUGCCCGUGUACACGUCGGCGGCCACCACGCCGAGCCUGAUCGCCGCCGAGUGCGCCGCGCGGCCGUCCUCGAGCGCCCCGAGCCGCGCGCAGCACUUGAGGACGACGGGGAAGGUGAAGCGGCCGGGGCGCGCGCCGGCCGCCAGCAUGGCGCGGUAGGCGGCCAGCGCGGCGCCCGGGAGGCCCGCGUCGGCGAGGCCCCGGAUGACGACGUUGUGGAGGAACGCGUCGCAGCUGCCGGCGGCCGCCAGGGCCUCCAGGGCGGCGUCCAUGCGGCCGGCGGCGGCGUGGGAGAGGACGAGCGACUUGGUGGCGCCGCGCUUGGGCCGCACGCGCGGCGGGGGCUCCUUGGAGGUGGCCGCGGCGAGGUGCUGGGAGGCGCAGGUGGAGGUGGUGGUGGCGGCGGCGGCGUGGGCGCCGCGGGAGGCGAGGACCAGCGGCGUGGCCAUGGGUGGAGCACGGGGCCUAUCCGGGAGGAGCCGAGCCAACCAAGCGAAGCAACGGGACAAGAAAGAGGGUGGUGA
Molecule: ribosomal RNA, 1119 nt
Filed under: Triticum aestivum (bread wheat)
Lineage: Eukaryota; Viridiplantae; Streptophyta; Magnoliopsida; Poales; Poaceae
Description: partial small subunit ribosomal RNA
Source: RNAcentral